UGCGUAGGUGGCUUAUCAAGCCAGGGGUGAAAGGCAUUGGCUCAACCAAUGUAAGCCUUUGGAACUGAUAGGCUUGAGUGCAGGAGAGGUAAGUGGAAUUCCUAGUGUAGAGGUGAAAUUCGUAGAUAUUAGGAGGAACACCAGUGGCGAAGGCGACUUACUGGACUGUAACUGACACUGAGGCACGAAAGCGUGGGGAGCGAACAGGAUUAGAUACCCUGGUAGUCC
RNAcentral lists this ribosomal RNA (228 nucleotides) under uncultured bacterium. Its description in RNAcentral is "partial 16S ribosomal RNA". It matches the Rfam family "Bacterial small subunit ribosomal RNA", at positions 568 to 796 of the family's 1533-position model. The record is from RNAcentral.